CAGCAGCCGCGGUAAUACGUAGGUGGCAAGCGUUGUCCGGAACUAUUGGGCGUAAAGGGCUCGCAGGCGGUUUCUUAAGUCUGAUGUGAAAGCCCCCGGCUCAACCGGGGAGGGUCAUUGGAAACUGGGAAACUUGAGUGCAGAAGAGGAGAGUGGAAUUCCACGUGUAGCGGUGAAAUGCGUAGAGAUGUGGAGGAACACCAGUGGCGAAGGCGACUCUCUGGUCUGUAACUGACGCUGAGGAGCGAAAGCGUGGGGAGCGAACAGGAUUAGAUACCCGUGUAGUCCCUGUCUCUUAUAC
Molecule: ribosomal RNA, 301 nt
Filed under: uncultured bacterium
Lineage: Bacteria
Description: partial 16S ribosomal RNA
Rfam family: Bacterial small subunit ribosomal RNA
Source: RNAcentral